RNAcentral lists this ribosomal RNA (253 nucleotides) under uncultured bacterium. RNAcentral describes it as "partial 16S ribosomal RNA". It matches the Rfam family "Bacterial small subunit ribosomal RNA", at positions 524 to 776 of the family's 1533-position model. The record is from RNAcentral.
UACGUAGGGUGCGAGCGUUGUCCGGAAUUAUUGGGCGUAAAGAGCUCGUAGGCGGUUUGUUGCGUCUAUCGUGAAAACCUGCAGCUUAACUGUGGGCUUGCGGUGGAUACGGGCAGACUUGAGUUCGGUAGGGGAGACUGGAAUUCCUGGUGUAGCGGUGAAAUGCGCAGAUAUCAGGAGGAACACCGGUGGCGAAGGCGGCGACCUGGGUCGAGACUGACGCUGAGGCGCAAAAGCGUGGGGAGCAAACAGG